AACGAACGCUGGUGGCAUGCCUAACACAUGCAAGUCGAACGAGACCUUCGGGUCUAGUGGCGCACGGGUGCGUAACGCGUGGGAAUCUGCCCUUCGGUUCGGAAUAACUCAGGGAAACUUGAGCUAAUACCGGAUGACGUCUUCGGACCAAAGAUUUAUCGCCGAGGGAUGAGCCCGCGUAGGAUUAGGUAGUUGGUGGGGUAAUGGCCCACCAAGCCGACGAUCCUUAGCUGGUCUGAGAGGAUGAUCAGCCACACUGGGACUGAGACACGGCCCAGACUGCUACGGGAGGCAGCAGUGGGGAAUAUUGGACAAGGGGCGAAAGCCUGAUCCAGCAAUGCCGCGUGAGUGAUGAAGGCCUUAGGGUUGUAAAGCUCUUUUACCAGGGAUGAUAAUGACAGUACCUGGAGAAUAAGCUCCGGCUAACUCCGUGCCAGCAGCCGCGGUAA
This 449-nucleotide ribosomal RNA is filed under the name uncultured bacterium. RNAcentral describes it as "partial 16S ribosomal RNA". It matches the Rfam family "Bacterial small subunit ribosomal RNA", at positions 29 to 523 of the family's 1533-position model. The record is from RNAcentral.